Molecule: ribosomal RNA, 208 nt
Filed under: uncultured Shewanella sp.
Lineage: Bacteria; Pseudomonadati; Pseudomonadota; Gammaproteobacteria; Alteromonadales; Shewanellaceae
Description: partial 16S ribosomal RNA
Rfam family: Bacterial small subunit ribosomal RNA
Source: RNAcentral
GCAAUAUUCCCCACUGCUACCUCCCGUAGGCCCCCCGUGCCCCCGCCCCGCCCGCCGCGCGCGGCGGGCGGGGCGGGGGCACGGGGGGCCUACGGGAGGCAGCAGUGGGGAAUAUUGCACAAUGGGGGAAACCCUGAUCCAGCCAUGCCGCGUGUGUGAAGAAGGCCUUCGGGUUGUAAAGCACUUUCAGUAGGGAGGAAAGGGUAAG